GAAAAGACUACACACACAAUUACACUUUUGAUUGAAAAGCCAUAGUACGAAGAAAGAAAGAAACAUGUAUAAGUUACUUGCUGUCCUCCUUGUAGUAGCUGCACUUGGUAAGUAAAUAGAUUAUUGAAAUCAUUCUAAAUUAAGGAACGGAUCUGCCUGACCAUACAAUGUGGAUCUCAUAGUUUGGGUUAGUCUUCAUUGCUUUUCAUUUUAUAAUUUUGAUUUAAAAGUUUUGUUCUUGAGCGUCUCCAAACAGACAUUCUAAAGUGCGCACCUUGUUAAGUAAACUUGCUUAAGUUACUAUUAUUAGGUGUAUUUGUACAAACAGCUUGAUUGAUUGUUAAUGGUUCUUUUAUAAUUUAGAAUAUAACAUGGACUUUAAUUUGUAGAUAAGCAAUAAUAAAGACAAUAAAACUAAGAUCUGUAUAGCGAUAUAAUAUCAAAAUGCCAAGAUGUAAAAAUACUUGAAAACUUGAAAACAGCCUUAUCUACGUAAGGUGAAAAUAACAAAUAACUUAGUUUCGGAAUAAGUUCUAUAAGAAAAUACAUAUUUAUGUUUUAAGCUUUUUCUAGUUAAUUUCUUAAAACUUAUUACACCAACUUCAGAUAUUUACACUGUCGAUCGUGAUGCCUACGUGCAUUCAUAGAAUGUAUGAUAAUUGAUUACGGGAUAAGAAAAAAAUACAGAAUUUAUAACAAGACUUGGAUUAAUUUCAAUUUUAUACGACAAACAUCAGAAGGAGCAUGGGUAGAAUAUGAACGUAGACGUCUUGACUAUUCGUCAAACGUGUCAUAGCAUAAAAAUUGUCAGAAUACACAUUUCAUAUUCUAAACCAUGAUUUUCAAAAUUGUAUGAUACAUUAGGUCCGAAGAUAUAUAUUUAAUUAUAACAACCACUUUUAUGAAAUUAUUUCAUCGUUUUUUACUUUAUUUAUUGCGAUAGGAUGUGCAGUGAAUGGAUGCGUGUGUCCUAGGACAUACCUUCCUGUUUGCUCCAGUCUGGGAAACUCGUAUGCAAAUAGCUGUACCUUUGCAUGCUUGUAAGUAUUGAUAAUGUCCGUCAUCGCAGAAAACAUUUCCCGUAUUUUUUUCCCAACUAAUACCACUUUACGCUAAAAAUAGAAAAAAAUGAUUUACGAUUACCAUACAGUAUCAUGAUAUCGAGUUUAAUUUCAGCCAAGUCUGAGUCUGUCGUUGUAAUAUUCCUUACACUUUGAUUUUUAUUGAUGUUUAAAAGUAGAUCCACGUUGUUUGCUGAAAUGCCUAAAAGGUUAAAACAAUAGUUUUAAAUUUUACAAGUACUAGUAGUAGUAUAAAAAGUAUAUAAUAUGUGGAAUAUAUUGUUUAUUUUGACUUUGUAGUUAUUUCAUAACUAUUUGUAUUAUUCAAUAAAUGCUUAUAAUGCUUUUACUGAGACAAAUACAACUCAUCAGGAACUCACUGUUUGCUACAAAAUAGCAUAUACAUGUAUAUAAGAUUAACUGUAUACUAUAAAAAUCGCUUUUGCUACCUUUGCAAAUUAAAUGGGGUUAAAACAGUUACAAUCGAAAGAACUGUAUUUCAAACUUGAAAAUAAUAGUUCUGAAUUAACAAUUUAUUUUGCUUCUAUUCUUUGUUUGGUAGCGCUGCUGAAGGUGAAACAUUCGCCUGUGAUGGCUCUUGUCCUUGUGCUACAUAGAUUUCUGAAUCAAAAAGGUAUGUUAACAGCGAUGUACUUUGAAAAGAAUUCAUUUUUUAAAUAAUUUUUUUUUAUCUGUAUUGCCAAUGUCAGGUGGUUUUCUCCGGGCACACCGGCUUCCUCCACCAAUAAAAACUGGCCGCAACGAAAAAGCCAAAAUGUGUUGUCUAAAAGUGGCGUUAAAACACCAAAAAUCAAAUCAAAUCAUAUUUUUAUCAUUGCUUGACUUGUUUGAAGACUGAACUCUUUUUACCACACUUUUUUGUUUUCUAAAUUUUUAGAAUUUCUCUAUGAGAGAAAUGAAAAAUAUAUGUUUAAAGUUCUUCUAAUAGUUCAAACCAGGAUCAAUUCAUAUCAUACCAACGUGGACUAACAUGCAACAUACAUAAUUUAUUCAUUUAAAAAAUCAUUUUUUUUCCAAUCGAAUACUUCAACUUUUAAGUGAAUGAUAAUUGGAAGAUUCUUAUUACAUUUUUAUCAGAUGUGAUACUGAAAGGUUGUAAUGCCAACCAGAUGAAAGGGAGAGGCAAGAUAAAAUAGCUAAAAUAAUUGUCCAACCUUAUUUUUGAUAAUUUGAUAUAAAAAAAAAUAAUGAUAAAACUUAAUUAUCAUUUAAACACAGUUAAAUACAUGAAUAUGUAGAGACAUUCUGUUCUCAAAAUUUCUAAUGUUAGUCUUCAGAUUUGUCAGUUCCAAACAUACUUAUUUCGCUUCCAACUUGAUAAUUUUCCCCAUCUAAGUUGAAUGAAAACUUAGAACUUAAAAACUAAAUAGAAAUGUAGAAAAUAUGAUAUUCCAACAAUUCUUUUGUUUUUAAAUACUGAAUUUAAAAAGUGACAAAUUUUAAAUAUUGGUAUCGGAAACGAAAUAUUCAGAGGCAGAACAAUUAAACAAUUCAAAUAUGACGACUAAGACGUUAUUUUAGAACAAAUAGUACUAAUAAACAUAUUAUAUACUCGUGUAUGGUACCUGCCUAUCUAACAAAACAUUUUUUAAAUUAAAGUUAGAAUGAAAAUAUUUUCAUAUUAGCGUUAUAAAAUGUAUUUCAAUUUUUCAAAGUUAAUCAAAGUUUGAUUUUUUUUUCAGGUCUUUGGAAUAUGGAAGGAUUUGAAAUUGAACACUGGACUUUGAAAUGCAUAAUGGACAACUUUGUGUGACUUUUUAAUAAUAAUUCUAUUUAUCUUCUGCAUAAUUAUUCUGACUUCUUCUUGUUUCAAUAAAAACUAAAAUCGUUUUCACAUUCAUUGAAUAUUGUUCAUGAUGAUUAAUAAACAGUAGACAUUCCUAGAUUCAUCUUCGCCAGAAACCCUAAGACAAAAU
RNAcentral lists this long non-coding RNA (2998 nucleotides) under Mytilus galloprovincialis (Mediterranean mussel). The record is from RNAcentral. Lineage: Eukaryota; Metazoa; Mollusca; Bivalvia; Mytilida; Mytilidae.